CGGUCUAUGAUGACAAACCAAUGUCAUAUAGAGAGAUGAUGACAUAAAUAUCAUGCUCAAUAAGAUCAUGGUGAGGCCC
This is a small nucleolar RNA of Peromyscus eremicus (cactus mouse), 79 nucleotides long. RefSeq annotates it as small nucleolar RNA SNORD115. The transcript has a single exon. Lineage: Eukaryota; Metazoa; Chordata; Mammalia; Rodentia; Cricetidae. The record is from RefSeq and is a predicted model, not a curated record.